AGAGUUUGAUUCUGGCUCAGAACGAACGUUGGCAGCGCGGAUUAGGCAUGCAAGUCGAACGGGAAUCCACAUUUUCAAUCCUUCGGGAGAGAAAGUGCGGAGGAGAGUGGCGUAAGGGUGAGUAACGCGUGGGCAAUUUACCUUGAAGUUGGGGAUAACUCCGCGAAAGCGGUGCUAAUACCGAAUGUGAUCUCCUGUCGCAUGGCAGGAUGAUUAAAGGUGGGGAUUCGUAAGAACCUGUCACUUCGAGAGAUGCCCGCGUCCUAUCAGCUUGUUGGUGAGGUAACGGCUCACCAAGGCUUACGGGUAGCUGGUCUGAGAGGAUGGUCAGCCACACUGGGACUGAGACACUGCCCAGACUCCUACGGGAGGCUGCAGUCGAGGAUCAUUUGCAAUGCGCGAAAGCGUGACAAUGCGACGCUGCGUGGGGGAUGAAGGCCUUCGGGUUGUAAACUCCUGUCAUUCGGGAGCAAAGGCAAAAGGGGGAAUAUCCCUUUUGUCCUGAUAGUACCGAAAGAGGAAGUCACGGCUAACUCUGUGCCAGCAGCCGCGGUAACACAGAGGUGGCGAACGUUGUUCGGAUUUACUGGGCGUAAAGGGUGCGUAGGUGGGUUCGUAUGUCGGAUGUGAAAUUUCAUCGCUCAACGGUGAACCUGCAUUCGAAACUGCGGAUCUGGAGUGUAUGAGGGGAGAGCGGAAUUCUUGGUGUAGCGGCGAAAUGCGUUGAUAUCAAGAAGAACACCGGUGGCGAAGGCGGCUCUCUGGCAUGCUACUGACACUGAGGCACGAAAGUUGGGGGAGCAAACAGGAUUAGAUACCCUGGUAGUCCCAACCGUAAACGGUGUACACUUGGUGUGGGGGGAUUUGACCCCUUCCGUACCGGAGCUAACGCGUUAAGUGUACCGCCUGGGGAGUACGGCCGCAAGGCUAAAACUCAAAGAAAUUGACGGGGGCCCGCACAAGCGGAGGAGCAUGUGGCUUAAUUCGAUGCAACGCGAAGAACCUUACCAGGGCUUGACAUGUAGCUGCACGUUCGCUGAAAGGUGAAAAGCCUUCGAGGGUGCUACACAGGUGCUGCAUGGCUGUCGUCAGUUCGUGCCGUGAGGUGUUGGGUUAAGUCCCGCAACGAACGCAACCCUUGUGAUUAGUUGCUACCAGGUAAUGCUGGGCACUCUGAUCAGACUGCCUGUACAAGCAGGAGGAAGGUGGGGAUGACGUCAAGUCAGUAUGGCCCUUACGCCCUGGGCUGCACACGUGCUACAAUGGCUGGUACAAUGGGACGCGAUACCGCGAGGUGGAGCAAAUCCUCAAAACCGGCCUCAGUUCGGAUUGGAGUCUGCAACUCGACUCCAUGAAGUCGGAUUCGCUAGUAAUGGCGCAUCAGCUACGGCGCCGUGAAUACGUUCCCGGGCCUUGUACACACCGCCCGUCACAUCAUGAAAGCCGUCUGCACCCGAAGUCGCUGAUCUAACCUCGAAUUAUCGAGGAGGAAGGUGCCGAAGGUGUGGGUGGUGAUUGGGAUGAAGUCGUAACAAGGUA
RNAcentral lists this ribosomal RNA (1539 nucleotides) under metagenome. RNAcentral describes it as "bacterial SSU rRNA". It matches the Rfam family "Bacterial small subunit ribosomal RNA". The record is from RNAcentral.